Non-coding RNA from Chlorocebus sabaeus (green monkey), 4971 nucleotides. The record is from RefSeq and is a predicted model, not a curated record. Lineage: Eukaryota; Metazoa; Chordata; Mammalia; Primates; Cercopithecidae.
GAAAAAAAAGGCUCAGUAAUUUAAAUUUGCUCUCAGUUCAGGCUGCAAUGCUGGGUCCCGCCCCUUCUUCCGGCUGGGUUCCACUACCUGUAAGGCUGGAACUGACAGCCACUGUGCAAACAAAAAAAGGCAACAAGCAUGCUGGGACCAUUCUGUCUGCUGUUUGGGUCUCACUUGCCCUGACAACUAAAAAUCAUCAGUGGAAAGAUUUCUGAAAAUACGAUCAGAUCCAGGAAUGGAUGAGAGAUUGCCUUGAAGAUUAAGUGAUUUAAUCACAGUACCCAUGAAACGUGAUCCAUUUGAUGGAACCAUCUGUUUUUUUUCCUCUGCCAAAGACACUCUGCACAUUUUGGCAGCUUCCCUAAGUGUACUCAAUAACUCAUGCCAAAUACAGUUGGAAUGCACCAUGAAUCCCAACUCUGAAAACAACUGAACCAAGCAGUGUUCAUCGUAAACUGACUGAUGUGUGGUGAGUCAAGCAACACUGGCUUAUAUACCUUAAGGUGAGUUGGGGAAGGGAGACUAAGUUAACGUGAUAACUUCUACCCUGUAAACUGGGGACAGUGAUUUGGAUUCAUAGGAUAGUGACAAUGUGGGGAUUUUUCUUCCCUGAAAUCUACUCCCCAGUUUUGGGAUUACAAUCUCUAUUCAGAUAAAUACCACUGUGACAAUCCCUUUUAUACACAUGACCCUGUGUAUGUCUAUACCCAGUUGAUUGGUUCAGAAGCAACAUCUAAGUAUGAAGGAAGCUACAUUUAGGACUCAGAUUUCCAACAUGGUAUUUCUUAAGUCACUGUAGCUAUACGAGCAACAGCUUGGGUGUUAUAGGUCAUGAGUCUUCCCACAUAGACCAGAAAAAGAAAGACUGCAUGUCUUCAAUGAGAGAAGAGGCAGGGCGAGAGGGAGGAUAUGAGGAAGAAAAAAAAAGAGUAGAAAUGCUCAGAUGAAGACAGAGUUCUGUUAUUAUUUGUGCACUUGUGUCUGUUUUUCCCAGAGCCCAGUCAUAUUUUGUUUCUUAGAUUCUAAGAGGUAGAGCAUUUAAAAAAUAAAUUCUUUUUGCUUAAGCAAGUUAUGCUAUUUGCAAGCUAAAUUUUGACUUAUACAUACAAGGGAAGAAAGUAAGAUUUAAUAUCUUUCCGAUCAAUACAAGACUUGGCUUGUAUUGGUUAAUUUCAUUACUUGAUUAAAGAAUCUAGACUAAAGUUUGAACCAUUUGGAGGUUUGAUCUCAUUUUAGAAUCAUUUACUCCACAGAUGGUAGCUUUUACAGUUUAUCUGUCACAGUGUCCGUGCUUUCUGUAUGUCCAGAUUCUGAAGGGUUAAUCAUAUAAAGUAUUUAUACCCUUAAACUAGACUUAACAUUUCAUUAGAUAAGAUAUUAGGAUGCUAUAGUUUUUUUCUGCUUUGAUACUAAACUUUAAGAGAUGCUUUAUAAGACUAUCAUAGUUCUCAUUUGUAUAACAGAAAAGCCAAACACAAAAUAUAGAAGCACAAAGCAUGUAUUGAGAAGUAAGCUUAAAAUAAAGCUUGGUGAUUUUGAAUGUCUGUAUUCAAUUUGUUCAGACUGUGGUGAAGAAUAACAAUCAAAGAGGCAGGUAUCAUUCCUAAUUUUUAUCAAAAAUUCACAUCCUAUCAGCGAUAACAUUUUUUAAAACUUUAUAAAUAUCUCUUUAAAAAGUUAAAUGAAAUAUUCAGUGUCUUUGUGUGUCUAGAGAAAGUAAACUUCAAACUAGAUGCAAAUGUCUUACCUUUUUUUUUUAAAUUAACUCUUGAGAGUGAUUUUUAAAACAUUGGUUUUAUGUAUGCUUUAGGAAACCUGUUAUUAUAUUUUUCUUCUGGUGUUUGAUUGAAUUUGCUUUGCUUUACGUUGUGGAGUCAUUUUAGGGAGACCUUUUCCAAACCCAGGAUCCCAUUCACUGAGUAGGAAAUGAAGAGUCCUCAUCUUUUUAGAUGGAGUUCUUUGUUAGAAUCCUGGCUUCGGAAGUUGCUGUUUUUCAUAGGGCAUAUCCUUUAACCUCUCUGAGUCCUGCUUUGCUCAUCUCUAGUAUGAUAAUAAAGUCUGACUUAAGAGGUGAUUGCAGAAUUAAAGACAUAGUAGACAUAUAGCAGUAAAGAAAUAAAUAGUUGCCAUUGUUGUUCACGCCAGUGUCCUCAGCCAAAAUAGAAAUUCUAUUUGGCUCCCAUAAAAGUUUUCAUGAAUGAAUUGGCUUAUUCUAUUCUUGACAACUCAGACCAUUACUCCCUCUGCAAAUGGAAGAGGGCAGAAAGACGAGGACUCUGCUUACUGCUGUGAUGCUGAAGAAGGUUCAACCAAAGAAGUUUCACAUCUUUUGUUCUCUCCGCUAAAAACCAGAGGUUGGAGCAUUUGAAAAAUAUCAAAAAAACAGCAGAGACAAGUUUAGGUGGUUUCCAGGGGAGAGGCACUGAAAGUGAUUGAUUCCUAUCAAAAGCACAAGGACAGGGUAAGUGAUUCUUUCUAGUAAAUGACAGUAGAGAUACAGCUGAACUGUGAGAAUGUAAUAAUGGUUAUGGCAAGGAAGGCUGAUGAGUUCUAGGAAAAGCACAUUGCUUGUGACCAGAGCAGUGGUUCUUGACUUUUACAGGUCUGAUAUCAGGCCAUCACCAUAUCAAAGAAUCUAGAUACCACCACGGUGGAAGCCAAAUUUUUACUUUUUAUCUUUAUGAUUAGCCACAAAAUACCUAUUUAUGUGUUUUUUGUCAACGCUCAAUAACGGCAACAUAAGCUCUGUCAUACCUAGUUUAUGUAAGUGUACUAUCAGCAGGUCAUGCUCCGCAAUUACAGCAUCACUGUCAAGGGACACACUGGGUCCUAAGUACUGAUGUCCUAAAUUCCACUUUGCUAAGGCCAACUGAUCGAACAGCAAGCAAAUACGAGAAAGGAGAUUGAAACUGAAUCACAAGAAAUGUGCGUUCUAUGUGCGAAAGUGGGAUCCAUUACAAUCCGAUGCACUGCACCAAAAGCAUAGUGUGAAAGAUUAAAUAAUCUAGGAUUUCCUAACUAGAGAUCAUUGUCUUCUCAUCAGCAGUUCAAGUACAAAGAGACAGAGAGAGACAAAGCAGGGACAUUGGUAGCAAUAAAAUAGCAGUGACUAACAUCAACUAUUACAGCAGGAAGCCCUAGGCAUUGGGAAGCUGGCACAGAGGUUCUGGGUAUAUCCUACAGUCAGUACCUUCCUGGAAACCCUCUGGGAAGAAAACAGCUGAUGGGAUCAGGGAAGGUGGGACCCUACCAGACUGGAUCAAGGACAAAAACCAUCUCCUUCACUCAGAGUGACAGAUUUUAUCAACCGUCAGAAUGCAUAACAGGUAGUUCAAAGAGAUUCAUUUCCAUGAAUUUCCUUUGAGUCCAAAUGCACUUUUUAGUAAGAUAAUGCAUGCCUCCACUGCAUUAUUUUUUUCUUGUCUAUGUUUGCCAAGUAAUGCCAUAAAGAUCUCCAUUUAUGAGUUUAAACAUAAAGAACUGAACUCAGAUGAAUUCUGCUGGUCACAUGGUGAUGAUCUAAGAACUUGGCAGGAAUUGCUGUGAUCGGAUCCUCAGGCUGCUAGUCAUAGACACCUGUUAUCACUGGAAAAAGGACUUUUCAGUCACAGCCCUUAAUGUUUCCUGUCUUAUGCUGGCAGAGACACCUGCACACAGAAGCUUUGUUAGUCCAAUUUUGGGUUUUUUUUGCACAAAUUUGUUAUUUUGUGGAAGAUUCCCGGUAAACACACACAUGUGAGUGCACACACAAGAACUUGUCUACAUCACUACUCAUGGGAAACAUUUAUUUUCUCUUCAUUUCUGCUCCUCUUCAGAGAAAAACAUUCAUGCAGGAUAAGGUACCAUUGCUUGUCAAUCUCUUUCUAAAUUUGGAAUCAGUCCAGAAAACCCAGGAGGAAGCUCAACUCAGCCACAGUUAAUCUUCAGAAAAUCCAUCCCACGUGACUCCCCCCCACCCCCCCCCCCCCCCCAUCAGUGCUGAUCUUUUCAUGUAUUCUUUAUAAGGAAUCCAUUGAACUUUAAUUAAUAUGAAAAAUUCAGGUUUUCAUCUGAUUUAAAUGUGACUGACAUCACGCUGCUGCUAAAAGUGGAACAAAGUACACGCAUGGUGAAAAUAAAACUUAAAACCUGGUGCCUAUUUUUUCACCGCCAAAUCAUCUCUAGCACUUUCAAGAGGCAGGAGAGAAAUGUACCCAGAGCAUUUUCUAGGAGUCUUCAUGUCCAUAUGUACGAACAGGGACAUGCUUGAAAAAAGUCUGUACACAGGCAGGAACGCGAUUCGCUCUGUCACAUCAAUCAGCAAUCUUUAGCUCUAAACGUUCCAGUUAAAAAGGACUGGAGUGACACAGUUAAAGGUAUAGAUUCCAAAAGGGUUAACGUGGUAGUAAGGAGUAAGAAUUCUUUUGAAAGGAAAACACACACUCAUCUGCCAUUUGUACACACGCACCAUCUCUAGCAUUCAGUGGAUUGUUCAAAACAGGCACAAAUGUGCUCCUGGAAGGCGUUAGGGUUCUGCUUGCUACAGAUCAGGCUGCUCUCAUGUUGAUGGAUUCUACUUAUCCAUAGGUGAAGUAGAGGAUGUGUGUCCUGAUGUUGAGACAGCUUUGUUACAAGAACUAUCAUUCUAUCUUCUCCAUAGAACCUAGUCUACUAUCAUAGCAACACAUGAAAGCCUAAGAAGUGACUACGAGAGCACAAUUAACACAUUUUUGAAACAUACAAUACGUUGUUAACUGUAGCUGAGUUGAUAAACAUCCUAAAUCAGCUGACUUCAUCAAUACCCAUUCUAUGCAAGAAAACGUGUUCUCUGUAAAUAUGUGCAAGUGUUAUAUAUCAAUAUAAAUAACACAUUUCUCACUGCAAUAAAAUAUAUCAAUCAUUGAGCUUUAUCUUUUUCUGAGAUAGGGUCUUGCUCUGUCACCCAGGCGGGAGCUGUGUUCGACUAUAGCUCACUGCAGCCUCAAACUCCUG